Molecule: long non-coding RNA, 396 nt
Organism: Rhipicephalus microplus (southern cattle tick)
Lineage: Eukaryota; Metazoa; Arthropoda; Arachnida; Ixodida; Ixodidae
Source: RefSeq, a predicted model, not a curated record
UCUAGUCGGUUCGGGCCUGAGCCUGUCAUCGGCAAAGUAAUGUUAAAACACGAAGAUGUAGUGCUCAGCAUACCUCAGGAAUAAGUCAAAAGGAUGCCUCUUCAGAGUGAAGCUUACGAAAACAGACGAGGCAAGACAACAUGUGCAAACAGACUGCUUGAAAAAUACAACCAAAUUAAAGAAUGGUAAUUUCACAACUAGCAUGCCACCACUUGCUGCUACUGCAAAAGAUGAAUGGUUUUGAAAAGUAUAGGGUGCAUCUUUAUGAAACUUCCGACUCAAAUGAAGCCUAUUGAGACUGCCAAAAUGUUUCUUUGCCGCAGUAAACCUACUUUCACGGUUGUACAAAGAAAUACAAAACAUGAAUGAAAGAAGCUAAAAUAACUUGCAAUUAAU